CAAAAUAUAGUUUAAUAAAAAUUCUAAUUUUGGGAAUUAGUGAUGCCAUUACUGGCUAUUUUGA
Molecule: transfer RNA, 64 nt
Filed under: Calyptogena extenta
Lineage: Eukaryota; Metazoa; Mollusca; Bivalvia; Venerida; Vesicomyidae
Also listed under: 1 other name
Description: tRNA-Pro
Source: RNAcentral